RNAcentral lists this ribosomal RNA (790 nucleotides) under uncultured bacterium. Its description in RNAcentral is "bacterial SSU rRNA". It matches the Rfam family "Bacterial small subunit ribosomal RNA", at positions 37 to 785 of the family's 1533-position model. The record is from RNAcentral.
UNGNGGGCAGNCUAANACAUGCAAGUCGAGCGGAAACGAGUUAACUGAACCUUCGGGGAACGUUAACGGCGUCGAGCGGCGGACGGGUGAGUAAUGCCUGGGAAAUUGCCCUGAUGUGGGGGAUAACCAUUGGAAACGAUGGCUAAUACCGCAUAAUAGCCCGGUUCUUCGGAAUGGGUCUCAAAGAGGGGGACCUUUUAGGCCUCUCGCGUCAGGAUAUGCCCAGGUGGGAUUAGCUAGUUGGUGAGGUAAUGGCUCACCAAGGCGACGAUCCCUAGCUGGUCUGAGAGGAUGAUCAGCCACACUGGAACUGAGACACGGUCCAGACUCCUACGGGAGGCAGCAGUGGGGAAUAUUGCACAAUGGGCGCAAGCCUGAUGCAGCCAUGCCGCGUGUAUGAAGAAGGCCUUCGGGUUGUAAAGUACUUUCAGCAGUGAGGAAGGUGGGUAUGUUAAUAGCAUACACAUUUGACGUUAGCUGCAGAAGAAGCACCGGCUAACUCCGUGCCAGCAGCCGCGGUAAUACGGAGGGUGCGGGCGUUAAUCGGAAUUACUGGGCGUAAAGCGCAUGCAGGUGGUUUGUUAAGUCAGAUGUGAAAGCCCGGGGCUCAACCUCGGAAUUGCAUUUGAAACUGGCAAACUAGAGUACUGUAGAGGGGGGUAGAAUUUCAGGUGUAGCGGUGAAAAUGCGUAGAGAUCUGAAGGAAUACCCGGUGGCGAAGGCGGCCCCCUUGGACAGAUACUGACACUCAGAUGCGAAAGCGUGGGGGAGCAAAAGAGGAUUNAGAUAC